Molecule: ribosomal RNA, 253 nt
Filed under: uncultured bacterium
Lineage: Bacteria
Description: partial 16S ribosomal RNA
Rfam family: Bacterial small subunit ribosomal RNA
Source: RNAcentral
UACGUAGGUGACCAGCGUUGUCCGGAUUUACUGGGCGUAAAGAGCGCGCAGGCGGUCGUUCUAGUCGAGUGUGAAAGCCCCCGGCUCAACUGGGGAGGGUCACUCGAUACUGAUCGACUUGAAGGCAGGAGAGGGAAGCGGAAUUCCCGGUGUAGUGGUGAAAUGCGUAGAUAUCGGGAGGAACACCAGUGGCGAAGGCGGCUUCCUGGCCUGUUCUUGACGCUGAGGCGCGAAAGCUAGGGGAGCAAACAGG